This 370-nucleotide ribosomal RNA is filed under the name uncultured cyanobacterium. RNAcentral's name for it is "bacterial SSU rRNA". It matches the Rfam family "Bacterial small subunit ribosomal RNA", at positions 376 to 761 of the family's 1533-position model. The record is from RNAcentral. Lineage: Bacteria; Bacillati; Cyanobacteriota.
CGCAAGCCUGACGGAGCAAUACCGCGUGAGGGAGGAAGGCUCUUGGGUCGUAAACCUCUUUUCUGAGGGAAGAAAAAAUGACGGUACCUCAGGAAUAAGCAUCGGCUAACUCCGUGCCAGCAGCCGCGGUAAUACGGAGGAUGCAAGCGUUAUCCGGAAUCAUUGGGCGUAAAGCGUCCGUAGGUGGCAGUUCAAGUCUGCUGUCAAAGCGCAAGGCUUAACCUUGUAAAGGCAGUGGAAACUGAACAGCUAGAGUGAGGUAGGGGUAGAGGGAAUUCCCGGUGUAGCGGUGAAAUGCGUAGAGAUCGGGAAGAACACCGGUGGCGAAAGCGCUCUACUGGGCCUCAACUGACACUGAGGGACGAAAGCU